GGAAGAACACAGGAAGUGAAAUAGCUCUAUCCUAUUCCAACGGUGGCGGGUAGCUCAUUUCCGGGAAGCCGGAUCUUCCAGGAUCACGCAGCCAGACCUCGCGGGAUCACCGACCCAGAUGUCGCGGGACUUGGAGACGUCAUUCCCGAGCGGGAGCGGGGCCUUGCGGGGCCGGCGGCCGGGGGAGUCGUGCGUGCCGGACAGGCCCCUGGCCCGGAAAGGAUACGUGGUGCGCGAGGGUCUGAAGCUAAAAUGUCGUCACCAGGGGGUAAGCUUUACGCCCAACAUGGAGCUUGAACUCGUGGCCCUGAGAUCGAGUUUCAUGCUUACAGAACUGACUGAGUCAGCUAGGUGCCUCAGGAAAACAAAUGUUCCAUGUCUGUGGUAAGUCAUAAUCUAUUUCUAUAGCAGCACCAGCUGCAUAUGCCUUCCAGUCAUUAAAAUGAUGCUUAGCCAAUGCAGUAUAAACUGUAAUUCCAUUAUUCUGUUUCUCUAAAAUAAGAGCUAACAACACAGAAUACAUACCUUUUGUUUGCUACCAUCUGCAAUAUCUUACCUCAUGUUAGGGGAAAAAAAAAAAGAACAGAAUGCUUAUUAAAAUACUAAAGAACCUAACGGGCAGUGAGAUGCUUAUGUGAAUAUCAGAGUUGACGAGUAAAUGUAGUGAAGGCUGCCAAAAAUCAGAAUUACAAUUACUUAAUGAAGAUUUUGAUUGUCUGCUCUGGAUAAACCUGUAAAAUUGCCCAAGGUGCCUUAAGAGACCAAGUACUGGCCCUUUCAUUAAUCAGAAGAAUGCCCAAGUCUAAAUAUUGACUGGUGAUUUGCUUUCCUCUCUUGAAGGAUCUCAGGAGAAUGGCACUAUAAAGAAAGAAAGCCAAAUUCACAAAAUCUGAGGCUUGGAGUAAACAUGAAAUGAGAAUGCAGUCCUUUUCGAGUAUUAAAAAUCAAUCCUUGUACUAAAAAUGAAUUAUCUGGCUCCUAUAAAAGCAAAAUGCCAACACUUAGACUUAGCUUUUUUAUACAUUUGCCAUUAAUUACACUUUUAAGUGAUAUAUAUGCUCUGAACUCCUAGUCAUUCAAUUAAAAUUUGGAAAGUAAUACUUACCAAGAUUAAAUCAAUUCUGGUUAUAUUUUUUCAUGUGCAUGCUGUGCAUGUUUCAUAAUUUUAAACUAUACAAAUAUUUAUAUUAUGCAUCCUCAAAUAGUAUUCCAAAUGAAUAUAUAUUUGAAAUGUUGAAGCUGUUUU
Molecule: long non-coding RNA, 1246 nt
Organism: Canis lupus familiaris (dog)
Lineage: Eukaryota; Metazoa; Chordata; Mammalia; Carnivora; Canidae
Exons: 3
Source: RefSeq, a predicted model, not a curated record